CAACCCUUAAGCCCCCGUUGCUUAGCGUUGGGAGCCUACGGCGACGUAGCUCCCCAAAGCCAGUGGCGGAGUCGGUCCCACGCUCCGGACGUAGUAGAUAACAAUCUCGUCCGCGGCCGGGCCGGCGCCCUGCCGUUAAACGCCCCAAUAUAUCAAA
RNAcentral lists this unclassified non-coding RNA (157 nucleotides) under uncultured Xylariaceae. Its description in RNAcentral is "sequence contains ITS2". Lineage: Eukaryota; Fungi; Ascomycota; Sordariomycetes; Xylariales; Xylariaceae. The record is from RNAcentral.